RNAcentral lists this ribosomal RNA (450 nucleotides) under Bacillus siamensis. Its description in RNAcentral is "bacterial SSU rRNA". It matches the Rfam family "Bacterial small subunit ribosomal RNA", at positions 74 to 508 of the family's 1533-position model. Lineage: Bacteria; Bacillati; Bacillota; Bacilli; Caryophanales; Bacillaceae. The record is from RNAcentral.
GGGAGCUUGCUCCCUGAUGUUAGCGGCGGACGGGUGAGUAACACGUGGGUAACCUGCCUGUAAGACUGGGAUAACUCCGGGAAACCGGGGCUAAUACCGGAUGGUUGUUUGAACCGCAUGGUUCAGACAUAAAAGGUGGCUUCGGCUACCACUUACAGAUGGACCCGCGGCGCAUUAGCUAGUUGGUGAGGUAACGGCUCACCAAGGCGACGAUGCGUAGCCGACCUGAGAGGGUGAUCGGCCACACUGGGACUGAGACACGGCCCAGACUCCUACGGGAGGCAGCAGUAGGGAAUCUUCCGCAAUGGACGAAAGUCUGACGGAGCAACGCCGCGUGAGUGAUGAAGGUUUUCGGAUCGUAAAGCUCUGUUGUUAGGGAAGAACAAGUGCCGUUCAAAUAGGGCGGCACCUUGACGGUACCUAACCAGAAAGCCACGGCUAAUUACGUGC